AGUUUGAUCCUGGCUCAGGAUGAACGCUAGCUACAGGCUUAACACAUGCAAGUCGAGGGGCAGCAUUUCAGUUUGCUUGCAAACUGGAGAUGGCGACCGGCGCACGGGUGAGUAACACUUUUCCACCGCCGUGAACUGGGGUACCCUUAGAAGGAAGUUUAACCCCGGUGGUAAAAUCGCCCCUAGUUUUUUAUUAAAGAAUUCCGGUUACGAGGGGAUCGUUCCCUUAGGCAGUUGGAGAGUAACCGCUCCCCACACCCUUUGGAAGGGUAGGGUUUGAGGGGGAGGUCCCCCCACAUUGGAAAUGGGCCCCGGUCCAAAUUCUUGGGGGGAGCACCAGUGAGAAUUUUGGUCAAUGGGCGCAGCCCUGACCCACCCAAGUAGCGUGAAGGAUGACUGCCCUAUGGGUUGUAAAUUUUUUUUAUAUGGGAAUAAAGUUUUCCACGUGUGGAAUUUUGUAUGUACCAUAUGAAUAAGGAUCGGCUAACUCCGUGCCAGCAGCCGCGGUAAUACGGAGGAUCCGAGCGUUAUCCGGAUUUAUUGGGUUUAAAGGGAGCGUAGGUGGACAGUUAAGUCAGUUGUGAAAGUUUGCGGCUCAACCGUAAAAUUGCAGUUGAUACUGGCUGUCUUGAGUACAGUAGAGGUGGGCGGAAUUCGUGGUGUAGCGGUGAAAUGCUUAGAUAUCACGAAGAACUCCGAUUGCGAAGGCAGCUCACUGGACUGCAACUGACACUGAUGCUCGAAAGUGUGGGUAUCAAACAGGAUUAGAUACCCUGGUAGUCCACACAGUAAACGAUGAAUACUCGCUGUUUGCGAUAUACAGUAAGCGGCCAAGCGAAAGCAUUAAGUAUUCCACCUGGGGAGUACGCCGGCAACGGUGAAACUCAAAGGAAUUGACGGGGGCCCGCACAAGCGGAGGAACAUGUGGUUUAAUUCGAUGAUACGCGAGGAACCUUACCCGGGCUUAAAUUGCAUUUGAAUAUAUUGGAAACAGUAUAGCCGUAAGGCAAAUGUGAAGGUGCUGCAUGGUUGUCGUCAGCUCGUGCCGUGAGGUGUCGGCUUAAGUGCCAUAACGAGCGCAACCCUUAUCUUUAGUUACUAACAGGUCAUGCUGAGGACUCUAGAGAGACUGCCGUCGUAAGAUGUGAGGAAGGUGGGGAUGACGUCAAAUCAGCACGGCCCUUACGUCCGGGGCUACACACGUGUUACAAUGGGGGGUACAGAAGGCAGCUACCUGGUGACAGGAUGCUAAUCCCAAAAGCCUCUCUCAGUUCGGAUCGAAGUCUGCAACCCGACUUCGUGAAGCUGGAUUCGCUAGUAAUCGCGCAUCAGCCAUGGCGCGGUGAAUACGUUCCCGGGCCUUGCACACACCGCCCGUC
This 1379-nucleotide ribosomal RNA is filed under the name uncultured bacterium. Its description in RNAcentral is "bacterial SSU rRNA". It matches the Rfam family "Bacterial small subunit ribosomal RNA". The record is from RNAcentral.